CGCGGUAGCUCAGUUGGUAGAGCAGCGGACUGAAAAUCCGCGUGUCGGCGGUUCGAUUCCGCCCUGCGG
Molecule: transfer RNA, 69 nt
Filed under: marine eukaryotic metagenome
Rfam family: tRNA
About the family: Transfer RNA (tRNA) molecules are approximately 80 nucleotides in length. Their secondary structure includes four short double-helical elements and three loops (D, anti-codon, and T loops).
Source: RNAcentral